AUACGUAGGGAGCGAGCGUUGUCCGGAAUUACUGGGUGUAGAGGGAGCGUAGGCGGGAGUGCAAGUCAGAUGUGAAAUGCAUGGGCUUAACCCAUGAGCUGCAUUUGAAACUGCAUUUCUUGAGUGAAGUAGAGGUAAGCGGAAUUCCUGGUGUAGCGGUGAAAUGCGUAGAUAUCAGGAGGAACACCGGUGGCGAAGGCGGCUUACUGGGCUUUUACUGACGCUGAGGCUCGAAAGCGUGGGGAGCAAACAGGAUUAGAUACCCUGGUAGUCCACGCUGUAAACGAUGAUUACUAGGUGUGGGGGGACUGACCCCUUCCGUGCCGCAGUUAACACAAUAAGUAUUCCGCCUGGGGAGUACGGCCGCAAGGUUGAAACUCAAAUGAAUUGACGGGG
This 396-nucleotide ribosomal RNA is filed under the name uncultured bacterium. RNAcentral's name for it is "partial 16S ribosomal RNA". It matches the Rfam family "Bacterial small subunit ribosomal RNA", at positions 523 to 918 of the family's 1533-position model. The record is from RNAcentral.